RNAcentral lists this ribosomal RNA (454 nucleotides) under uncultured Paracoccaceae bacterium. RNAcentral describes it as "bacterial SSU rRNA". It matches the Rfam family "Bacterial small subunit ribosomal RNA", at positions 84 to 573 of the family's 1533-position model. The record is from RNAcentral. Lineage: Bacteria; Pseudomonadati; Pseudomonadota; Alphaproteobacteria; Rhodobacterales; Paracoccaceae.
CUUCGGGGUGAGCGGCGGACGGGUGAGUAACGCGUGGGAAUAUGCCCUUCUCUAAGGAAUAGCCUCGGGAAACUGAGAGUAAUACCUUAUACGCCCUACGGGGGAAAGAUUUAUCGGAGAAGGAUUAGCCCGCGUUAGAUUAGGUAGUUGGUGGGGUAAUGGCCUACCAAGCCUACGAUCUAUAGCUGGUUUGAGAGGAUGAUCAGCCACACUGGGACUGAGACACGGCCCAGACUCCUACGGGAGGCAGCAGUAGGGAAUCUUAGACAAUGGGGGAAACCCUGAUCUAGCCAUGCCGCGUGUGUGAUGAAGGCCUUAGGGUCGUAAAGCACUUUCGCCAGAGAUGAUAAUGACAGUAUCUGGUAAAGAAACCCCGGCUAACUCCGUGCCAGCAGCCGCGGUAAUACGGAGGGGGUUAGCGUUGUUCGGAAUUACUGGGCGUAAAGCGCACGUA